This 1083-nucleotide ribosomal RNA is filed under the name Triticum aestivum (bread wheat). RNAcentral's name for it is "partial small subunit ribosomal RNA". Lineage: Eukaryota; Viridiplantae; Streptophyta; Magnoliopsida; Poales; Poaceae. The record is from RNAcentral.
AUGGAUUCCAUCAUGGCUAACAGAACAUGGGAGAUCACUGAUCGUCCCUAUGGUUGUAAACCACUGGGGUGUAAGUGGGUGUUCAAAAAGAAGCUUAGGCCCGGUGGUACUAUUGAAAAGUACAAGGCUAGGCUUGUAGCCAAGGGCUAUGACCAGCAAGAAGAGGAAGAUUUCUUUGAUACUUUUUCACCUGUGGCUAGGCUGACCACCAUUCGAGUAUUACUCUUGUUGGCGGCCUCGCACGGUCUUCUCGUCCAUCAGAUGGAUGUUAAGACGGCUUUUCUAAAUGGAGAGCUAAAGGAGGAAAUCUACAUGCAACAGCCUGAUGGCUUUGUGAUAGAUGGUCAGGAAAGAAAGGCUGACAAAUGUGUAUACUAUCGCCAUGGUGGGGGCGAAGGAGUUAUACUGUGCUUGUAUGUUGAUGACAUACUGAUAUUCGGAACAAACCUCAAAGUCAUUGAGGAGGUCAAAUCAUUUCUAUCUCAGAACUUUGAGAUGAAAGACCUUGGUGUGGCUGAUGUUAUCUUGAACAUUAAGCUACUGAGAGAUAAUGAGGGUGGAAUUACACUUCUGCAAUCCCACUAUGUUGAGAAGGUGUUCAGUCGUUUUGGAUAUUUGGACUGCACGCCAUCUCAAACACCAUAUGAUCCUAGCAUAUUGAUUCGAAAGUCCAAAGGCAUGGCUAAAGAUCAAUUGAGAUACUCUCAAAUCAUUGGUUCACCGAUGUACCUAGCGAGCGCAACAAGGCCUGACAUCGCGUUUGCUGUGAGCAAACUGAGCCGGUUUGUUUCCAAACCGGGUGAUGUACAUUGGCAUGCUGUUGAGAGAGUUAUGCUCUAUCUGAAAGGUACUAUGAACUAUGGACUUCACUAUACCGGAUACCCGUCGGUACUUGAAGGGUAUAGUGAUGCGAAUUGGAUCUCUGAUGCUGAUGAGAUGAAGGCCACAACUGGGUAUAUGUUUACUCUCGGAGGUGGCGCUGUUUCCUGGAAGUCUUGCAAGCAAACGAUCUUAACGAGAUCGACAAUGGAAGCAGAAUUAACAGCAUUAGACACACCUGGUGUUGAAGCGAGAUGGCUUUGA